This 541-nucleotide ribosomal RNA is filed under the name uncultured soil bacterium. RNAcentral's name for it is "bacterial SSU rRNA". It matches the Rfam family "Bacterial small subunit ribosomal RNA", at positions 35 to 608 of the family's 1533-position model. The record is from RNAcentral.
GCUGGCGGCGUGCCUAACACAUGCAAGUCGAACGAGAAAGUGGAGCAAUCCAUGAGUACAGUGGCGUACGGGUGAGUAACACGUGACUAACCUACCCUCGAGUGGGGAAUAACCUCGGGAAACCGGGGCUAAUACCGCAUAACAUCUUCGGAUCAAAUGCGUAAGCAGCUUGAGGAGGGGGUCGCGGCCGAUUAGCUAGUUGGCGGGGUAAUGGCCCACCAAGGCAAUGAUCGGUAGCCGGCCUGAGAGGGCGCACGGCCACACUGGAACUGAAACACGGUCCAGACUCCUACGGGAGGCAGCAGUGGGGAAUUUUGCGCAAUGGGGGAAACCCUGACGCAGCAACGCCGCGUGGAGGAUGAAGCCCCUUGGGGUGUAAACUCCUUUCGAUCGGGACGAUUAUGACGGUACCGGAUGAAGAAGCACCGGCUAACUCUGUGCCAGCAGCCGCGGUAAUACAGAGGGUGCAAGCGUUGUUCGGAAUUAUUGGGCGUAAAGGGUGCGUAGGCGGUGCGGUAAGUCUGUUGUGAAAUCUCCGGGC